RNAcentral lists this long non-coding RNA (216 nucleotides) under Linum usitatissimum (flax). RNAcentral describes it as "long non-coding RNA (LUSI_LNC000189)". The record is from RNAcentral. Lineage: Eukaryota; Viridiplantae; Streptophyta; Magnoliopsida; Malpighiales; Linaceae.
GGAGGAGCAAUCAAGGGCGUGAUAGCCUUGACGCCGAUCUGAUCGUCUCUCCGGCGACGAUCGGCGGGAGGAACAGUCCAAUCCUGGACGGCAUUCUCAGGAACAGGGGACUGAGUGACAGAAGCCUGACGGGGAAUAACAGAACGGGAAUCUCCACCACAGCAGGCAGAAUUAGAAGAAGAAGAAGAAGAGGAAGGAAUCUUCGCUUUUUCCUGA